AAUUAUUGGCCUCAAAGUCACGACACCAGGAUAACAAAGUCUCAACAUUCAAACUAGUCUUAGAGAUCAAGUAAUCUGCCCAAAAAAUUGCAACAUUGGCCAAAGAAUGUCACAACAUUAGACUAACAAGCCAAAAAUCCUACAAGGGUGUUUUCAUCUAUACAAUCUUAUUUAACUUGUAAUUCAUAUUGUAAUUGACCUAAAUAGGUCAUAAUACACUUAGACUAUAAAUAUUACCUAAAACCAUUAGUUUAG
RNAcentral lists this long non-coding RNA (255 nucleotides) under Gossypium raimondii (Peruvian cotton). RNAcentral describes it as "long non-coding RNA (GRAI_LNC000322)". Lineage: Eukaryota; Viridiplantae; Streptophyta; Magnoliopsida; Malvales; Malvaceae. The record is from RNAcentral.